This 429-nucleotide ribosomal RNA is filed under the name uncultured bacterium. Its description in RNAcentral is "bacterial SSU rRNA". It matches the Rfam family "Bacterial small subunit ribosomal RNA", at positions 354 to 776 of the family's 1533-position model. The record is from RNAcentral.
GUAGGGAAUCUUCGGCAAUGGACGAAAGUCUGACCGAGCAACGCCGCGUGAGUGAUGAAGGUUUUCGGAUCGUAAAACUCUGUUGCCAGGGAAGAAUGGUUGAGAGAGUAACUGCUCUUGAUUUGACGGUACCUGAGAAGAAAGCCCCGGCUAACUACGUGCCAGCAGCCGCGGUAAUACGUAGGGGGCAAGCGUUGUCCGGAAUUAUUGGGCGUAAAGCGCGCGCAGGCGGUCAUUUAAGUCUGGUGUAUAAACCAAGGGCUCAACCUUUGGACGCAUUGGAAACUGGGUGACUGGAGUGUAGGAGAGGAAAGUGGAAUUCCACGUGUAGCGGUGAAAUGCGUAGAGAUGUGGAGGAACACCAGUGGCGAAGGCGACUUUCUGGCCUAUAACUGACGCUGAGGCGCGAAAGCGUGGGGAGCAAACAGG